GGUCAUAACUGGAGCUACGAAUAUCGGAUUGAGGCUCCGGAAGAUGCGUUGGAAAGCUGAGAUCAAGAGCUACAACUUUCAUGUUGAGGCCAAAACUCAGUUCGGAGCGCAAGUGUGUCAAAUAUUUACGUUUAUGUUCCAGACUUUAUGAAAAUAAUGUAAUUUCGGGUCAAACUUAUGUUUUUCGACCCGUAGCUUUUUAAGCCCAAUUUUCUCUGAGUACUUAAGCAAAAACACAGCUAGGGUUUCAGGGGAAUUCUGAUUUCACGCAAAAAAAUAGAAAAGAAAGGCUGCUGCAUUCUCAUGGAGAACUAGCAACCCUAGGUUGAUCCAUUGGUAUACGGGAACAUCGUUCAUG
This 358-nucleotide long non-coding RNA is filed under the name Trifolium pratense (red clover). RNAcentral's name for it is "long non-coding RNA (TPRA_LNC003932)". The record is from RNAcentral. Lineage: Eukaryota; Viridiplantae; Streptophyta; Magnoliopsida; Fabales; Fabaceae.